RNAcentral lists this ribosomal RNA (253 nucleotides) under uncultured bacterium. Its description in RNAcentral is "partial 16S ribosomal RNA". It matches the Rfam family "Bacterial small subunit ribosomal RNA", at positions 524 to 776 of the family's 1533-position model. The record is from RNAcentral.
UACAGAGGGUGCAAGCGUUAAUCGGAAUUAUUGGGCGUAAAGGGUGCGUAGGUGGUUUGAUAAGUUAGGUGUGAAAGUCCUGGGCUUAACCUGGGGAUUGCGCCUAAUACUGUUAAGCUUGAGUACUGUAGAGGAAGGUGGAAUUUCCGGUGUAGCGGUGAAAUGCGUAGAUAUCGGAAGGAACAUCAGUGGCGAAGGCGACUUUCUGGACAGAUACUGACACUGAGGCACGAAAGCGUGGGGAGCAAACAGG